Engraulis encrasicolus (European anchovy) is the source of this 717-nucleotide long non-coding RNA. RefSeq lists it as uncharacterized. The transcript is spliced from 4 exons. The record is from RefSeq and is a predicted model, not a curated record. NCBI's taxonomy places the organism in Eukaryota, Metazoa, Chordata, Actinopteri, Clupeiformes, Engraulidae.
GACUAAUCUCGUUGGUUGAGGCAAUAUUGGUCAAAUUAACUGUGACAUUGGUAACUAUUAAACAAACAAAUUGGUUAUCUUACAAAGAUAUUGGUUAACUUUAAUAACAGAUUGGUUGAAAAAUGACUAAUAUCAUUAGUUAAGCAAAUGUUAACUAAGAGAUUGGUAACUGACGCAGGUCUGACGCUAAACGUCAAGUACGUAACUCUGCUUCUCAAUUUUCUGACAAAGCCGCCAUCUUUGUGCUGCAGGAAAGCCGUUUGAGAUAUUGGUGAAAUUCAAACACUUUGUGAGAUGACAGAAUAUUGCUGAAGGAUCCUACAUGGAAGCUGGCUGAUUACACGGAGUGAUUCCUCUGGUGUGGUGUACCUCAGAGAAAUAAACACUGUUGCAAGAGCUGAGAAGAUGGCCAAGAUAUCCUUAUUGCUGGAUGGUAGCUCUGGUCGUAGUGGACCAUAUCUGCAAAUGCUUCUGAACAUUGACAGAAUUUCUAAAGAUGACUGAGAAUAUUACUGAAGGAUCCUACAUGGAAGCUGUCUGAUUACACUGAGUGAUUCCUCUGGUGUGGUGUACCUCAGAGAAAAUAAACACUGUUGCAAGAGGUGAGUUUAAGUUCAUGAAUUCACACAAAACCAAUCCAUGUAUUUUAUAAAAGUCAAAGUGCUAAACAUGCUAUGUAUUUCAUGCUGUCAAUAUGAGAUGCAAAUUAAUGUUGUG